Molecule: ribosomal RNA, 264 nt
Filed under: uncultured archaeon
Lineage: Archaea
Description: partial 16S ribosomal RNA
Rfam family: Archaeal small subunit ribosomal RNA
Source: RNAcentral
ACACGACUACAUUAGAUACCCGGGUAGUCCCAGCCCUAAACGAUGCGCGUUAGGUGUAUCGGUGACCACGAGUCACCGGGGUGCCGAAGGGAAACCGUGAAACGUGCCGCCUGGGAAGUACGGUCGCAAGGCUGAAACUUAAAGGAAUUGCGGGGGAGCACCACAACGGGUGGAGCCUGCGGUUUAAUUGGACUCAACGCCGGGAAGCUCACCGGAUAAGACAGCGGAAUGAUUGCCGGGCUGAAGACCCUGCAUGACCAGCUG